RNAcentral lists this ribosomal RNA (491 nucleotides) under uncultured bacterium. RNAcentral describes it as "partial 16S ribosomal RNA". It matches the Rfam family "Bacterial small subunit ribosomal RNA", at positions 30 to 507 of the family's 1533-position model. The record is from RNAcentral.
AUUGAACGCUGGCGGCAUGCUUUACACAUGCAAGUCGAACGGUAACAGGCCUUCGGGUGCUGACGAGUGGCGAACGGGUGAGUAAUGCAUCGGAACGUGCCCAGAGGUGGGGGAUAACGCAGCGAAAGCUGUGCUAUACCGCAUGUGAUCUGAGGAUGAAAGCGGGGGACCAGGCAGCAAUGUUUGGCCUCGCGCCUUUGGAGCGGCCGAUGUCAGAUUAGGUAGUUGGUGGGGUAAAGGCCUACCAAGCCGACGAUCUGUAGCUGGUCUGAGAGGACGACCAGCCACACUGGGACUGAGACACGGCCCAGACUCCUACGGGAGGCAGCAGUGGGGAAUUUUGGACAAUGGGCGCAAGCCUGAUCCAGCAAUGCCGCGUGCGGGAAGAAGGCCUUCGGGUUGUAAACCGCUUUUGUACGGAACGAAAAGGCUCUGGCUAAUACCUGGGGCUGAUGACGGUACCGUAAGAAUAAGCACCGGCUAACUACGUG